RNAcentral lists this ribosomal RNA (912 nucleotides) under uncultured crenarchaeote. Its description in RNAcentral is "bacterial SSU rRNA". It matches the Rfam family "Archaeal small subunit ribosomal RNA", at positions 1 to 920 of the family's 1478-position model. Lineage: Archaea; Thermoproteati; Thermoproteota. The record is from RNAcentral.
UUCCGGUUGAUCCCGCCGGACCUGACUGCUAUCGGAUUGAUACUAAGCCAUGCGAGUCAUUGUAGCAAUACAAGGCAUACGGCUCAGUAACGCGUAGUCAACCUAACCUAUGGACGGGAAUAACCUCGGGAAACUGAGAAUAAUGCCCGAUAGAACACUAUACCUGGAAUGGUUUGUGUUCCAAAUGAUUUAUCGCCAUAGGAUGGGACCGCGGCCUAUCAGUUUGUUGGUGAGGUAAUGGCCCACCAAGACUAUUACAGGUACGGGCUCUGAGAGGAGUAGCCCGGAGAUGGGUACUGAGACACGGACCCAGGCCCUAUGGGGCGCAGCAGGCGAGAAAACUUUGCAAUGUGCGAGAGCACGACAAGGUUAAUCCGAGUGAUUUGUGCUAAACGAAUCUUUUGUUAGUCCUAGAAACACUAACGAAUAAGGGGUGGGCAAGUUCUGGUGUCAGCCGCCGCGGUAAAACCAGCACCUCAAGUGGUCAGGAUGAUUAUUGGGCCUAAAGCAUCCGUAGCCGGCUCUGUAAGUUUUCGGUUAAAUCUGUACGCUUAACGUACAGGCUGCCGGGAAUACUGCAGAGCUAGGGAGUGGGAGAGGUAGACGGUACUCGGUAGGAAGUGGUAAAAUGCUUUGAUCUAUCGAUGACCACCUGUGGCGAAGGCGGUCUACCAGAACACGUCCGACGGUGAGGGAUGAAAGCUGGGGGAGCAAACCGGAUUAGAUACCCGGGUAGUCCCAGCUGUAAACUAUGCAAACUCAGUGAUGCAUUGGCUUGUGGCCAAUGCAGUGCUGCAGGGAAGCCGUUAAGUUUGCCGCCUGGGAAGUACGUACGCAAGUAUGAAACUUAAAGGAACUGGCGGGGGAGCACCACAAGGGGUGAAGCCUGCGGUUCAAUUGGAUUCAACGCCG